Long non-coding RNA from Eucalyptus grandis, 476 nucleotides. RefSeq lists it as uncharacterized. The transcript is spliced from 2 exons. Lineage: Eukaryota; Viridiplantae; Streptophyta; Magnoliopsida; Myrtales; Myrtaceae. The record is from RefSeq and is a predicted model, not a curated record.
AUGACGCCCUUUUUCUCAGCACAUUCAAAUGGUACAUGAAAAGCAAGUCGGCACCAGAUGAAUCAGGAAGCACGAGAAUGGCGGAGGCAAAGAGCAACGAGACGAAACUACAGAAGCAAAGAAGCUGAGCAGAGUGGAGGUUAAGAUGGAAGGACAGAGGAGGAAGCAAGCUAAUGCUAUGUGAGGUUGAGAGCAGGAAGCUUGCAAGAAGCAGAGGGGUGAUGGGUUUGAAUUAUAAGGAGGGGGUGAGUGGGAAUUAUAUAUGUGGGGGUGGGGAUCGGGAAGUCUGACUUUUUGACUGGAGAGAAACCGAGUUUUUCAGCAGUUGGACUGGUCUUUGGUCAGACAAUAGUGGAGUGGAGAGUGAGGAAGGUCCAAAUGUUGACCGAUUCAACUCCUUGAACUUGUAGAACGGGGGGGAAGGUUUUCUUUUUGGUUAUUGCCUUUUCCCUAUUGAUUUCUCCUUGAUUUUUCCA